AUUGAACGCUGGCGGCAGGCUUAACACAUGCAAGUCGAGCGGGGGAAGGUAGCUUGCUACUGGACCUAGCGGCGGACGGGUGAGUAAUGCUUAGGAAUCUGCCUAUUAGUGGGGGACAACAUCUCGAAAGGGAUGCUAAUACCGCAUACGUCCUACGGGAGAAAGCAGGGGAUCUUUGGACCUUGCGCUAAUAGAUGAGCCUAAGUCGGAUUAGCUAGUUGGUGGGGUAAAGGCCUACCAAGGCGACGAUCUGUAGCGGGUCUGAGAGGAUGAUCCGCCACACUGGGACUGAGACACGGCCCAGACUCCUACGGGAGGCAGCAGUGGGGAAUAUUGGACAAUGGGGGGAACCCUGAUCCAGCCAUGCCGCGUGUGUGAAGAAGGCCUUAUGGUUGUAAGGCACUUUGAGCGAGGAGGAGGCUACUCUAGUUAAUACCUAGGGAUAGUGGACGUUACUCGCAGAAUAAGCACCGGCUAACUCUGUGCCAGCCGCCGCAGUAC
Molecule: ribosomal RNA, 501 nt
Filed under: uncultured bacterium
Lineage: Bacteria
Description: partial 16S ribosomal RNA
Rfam family: Bacterial small subunit ribosomal RNA
Source: RNAcentral